RNAcentral lists this ribosomal RNA (281 nucleotides) under Pseudo-nitzschia fraudulenta. RNAcentral's name for it is "partial 28S ribosomal RNA". It matches the Rfam family "Eukaryotic large subunit ribosomal RNA", at positions 186 to 475 of the family's 3401-position model. The record is from RNAcentral. Lineage: Eukaryota; Bacillariophyta; Bacillariophyceae; Bacillariales; Bacillariaceae.
UUCCUUGGAAAAGGACAGCUGANAGGGUGAAACUCCCGUCCGCCUGGUAGAAUGAGUCUUUGUCAACGAGUCGAGUUGUUUGGGAUUGCAGCUCUAAUUUGGUGGUAAAUUCCAUCUAAAGCUAAAUAUUGGUGGGAGACCGAUAGCGUACAAGUACCGUGAGGGAAAGAUGCAAAGAACUUUGAAAAGAGAGUUAAAGAGUACCUGAAAUUGCUGAAACGGAAGCGAAGGAAACCAGUGUUUGUUGGUUCAUAUUUCCCUGGCCACUUGUGGUUUGGGCG